This 496-nucleotide ribosomal RNA is filed under the name uncultured bacterium. RNAcentral's name for it is "partial 16S ribosomal RNA". It matches the Rfam family "Bacterial small subunit ribosomal RNA", at positions 29 to 507 of the family's 1533-position model. The record is from RNAcentral.
AUGAACGCUGGCGGCGUGCCUAAUACAUGCAAGUCGAGCGAACAGACGAGGAGCUUGCUCCUCUGACGUUAGCGGCAGACGGGUGAGUAACACGUGGAUAACCUACCUAUAAGACUGGGAUAACUUCGGGAAACCGGAACUAAUACCGGAUAAUAUAUUGAACCGCAUGGUUCAAUAGUGAAAGACGGUUUUGCUGUCACUUAUAGAUGGAUCCGCGCCGCAUUAGCUAGUUGGUAAGGUAACGGCUUACCAAGGCAACGAUGCGUAGCCGACCUGAGAGGGUGAUCGGCCACACUGGAACUGAGACACGGUCCAGACUCCUACGGGAGGCAGCAGUAGGGAAUCUUCCGCAAUGGGCGAAAGCUUGACGGAGCAACGCCGCGUGAGUGAUGAAGGUCUUCGGAUCGUAAAACUCUGUUAUUAGGGAAGAACAAAUGUGUAAGUAACUAUGCACGUCUUGACGGUACCUAAUCAGAAAGCCACGGCUAACUACGUG